UAUAAACUAAGCGUAAUCUUUAAUUGGGCAUUCGACGAUCGAGGUGAGAGGGUAUCAGUGGAUACGGUUUUAAGGAAAGGAGCUUGUUAAUUAGAAGAAUAGUUUUGUUUCGGCGAAUUAAACCCUCUCCAACUCAACGAUAUCGCACACAACAGCCAAUCAGCAGUACUACGCGAAAGAGAUUGCAAGAUGAAGUUUGGCUUCAGUUUAAAGGCAGUCGGCAUCACAUUGUUGGCUGUGAUCAUCGCAAUGGCCUUCGCUGACAACCCCCGACAGGUAAAGAAAAAGCCAACGUACCGAGGAUGGACUAAAAUGACAGAGAGCCGGUGUAAG
This is a long non-coding RNA of Strongylocentrotus purpuratus (purple sea urchin), 333 nucleotides long. RefSeq lists it as uncharacterized. NCBI's taxonomy places the organism in Eukaryota, Metazoa, Echinodermata, Echinoidea, Camarodonta, Strongylocentrotidae. The transcript is spliced from 3 exons. The record is from RefSeq and is a predicted model, not a curated record.